ACGGAAGGUCCGGGCGUUAUCCGGAUUUAUUGGGUUUAAAGGGAGCGUAGGCCGUUUGGUAAGCGUGUUGUGAAAUGUCGGGGCUCAACCUGGGCAUUGCAGCGCGAACUGUCAGACUUGAGUGCGCAGGAAGUAGGCGGAAUUCGUCGUGUAGCGGUGAAAUGCUUAGAUAUGACGAAGAACUCCGAUUGCGAAGGCAGCCUGCUGUAGCGCAACUGACGCUGAAGCUCGAAAGCGUGGGUAUCGAACAG
This 251-nucleotide ribosomal RNA is filed under the name uncultured bacterium. Its description in RNAcentral is "partial 16S ribosomal RNA". It matches the Rfam family "Bacterial small subunit ribosomal RNA", at positions 525 to 775 of the family's 1533-position model. The record is from RNAcentral.